ACCUACGGGAGGCAGCAGUGAGGAAUAUUGGUCAAUGGCCGGAAGGCUGAACCAGCCAAGCCGCGUGAGGGAAGACGGCCCUAUGGGUUGUAAACCUCUUUUGUCGGAGAACAAAACCCGGGACGUGUCCCGGACUGCGUGUAUCCGAAGAAAAAGCAUCGGCUAACUCCGUGCCAGCAGCCGCGGUAAUACGGAGGAUGCGAGCGUUAUCCGGAUUUAUUGGGUUUAAAGGGUGCGUAGGCGGUCCGUUAAGUCAGCGGUAAAAUUGCGGGGCUCAACCCUGUCGAGCCGUUGAAACUGGCAGA
This 305-nucleotide ribosomal RNA is filed under the name uncultured bacterium. Its description in RNAcentral is "bacterial SSU rRNA". It matches the Rfam family "Bacterial small subunit ribosomal RNA", at positions 337 to 640 of the family's 1533-position model. The record is from RNAcentral.